Molecule: long non-coding RNA, 3515 nt
Organism: Phacochoerus africanus (Common warthog)
Lineage: Eukaryota; Metazoa; Chordata; Mammalia; Artiodactyla; Suidae
Exons: 2
Source: RefSeq, a predicted model, not a curated record
UCCUCAUGGAUACCAGUUGGGUUCACUACCGCUGAGCCUCAAUGGGAACGCCUCGGUUUAGUGAUUCCACACCACUGACUGUCCCCUUACAUCUCCACCAGGAGAGCCACACCAAGACAGAGCAGCGUGAUAUGUUUCUCAUCCCAAGACCCUGGAAGUGCUGUCCAAGCUCUGGGCCUCCGGACACCUGGCUCAGCUCUGCUUCUCACACCGAAGUCUGCCAUCCCCGCUGACUCACCAAUCAGACUUCUGCCAUCCACCAAACAGUCCUCUCCCUUCUCUGAAUGGGUCUGUCAUAUCCCCCUUGGAAUGCUGUGAGACGUUUUCUUUUGUUUCUGGGAACUGGUCUCCUCAUCAUCUCUAAACUCAUUGUCCUACCACCUCUCUGGCUCUCAGGGAAACCUAGUCUCCUUGCUUGAGGGGAAAGGGCAGGCUGGGAUGGGUGCCACGGGAUGCAGGGGUCUCAUGCCCCAUGGAGUGUCCAAACCACCACGCUAGGUGGUGACUUUCUGGGAACACAGACCACUUUAAAAGUGAGGAGCGAAUGACAUUUUUGGUUGGGUCUCUCAUUCUUUCCUUAGCUGGCUUUUGGGUCAAAGGCAGGAGAGCCUAUAGUAUAACAUGGUCUUAAGACUAUUAUCUAUCUGCACCCCAUGCUCCCAGAGCAGGGGUCCUCCACUGGGGGCAAUUUUGCACCUCCCCCCCCCCCCACCUGGGGAUGUUUGGUUAUAUCUGCAGACAUUUAUUGCCCAGAUCAGGGUGGGUGGGGUGAGAGGUGCUCUUGGUCUAUAGUAGGCGGAGGCCAGGGAUGCUGCUAAGCCUCCCAUGUGGCUCAGAACAGCCCCUCCCCCCCCCCCCCAACAAAGAGGGCUCCUGCCCAACAUGUCAACACCAUCAAGGCCAAGAAACUUGGCUCCGAGGUCUCACUCCCUCUGGCUUUCUCUCAAAUGGGUCUUUCCCCUCCAUGUCCAGCCAUUCCCUUUGCCACGUGGCUUCCCUCUGUUUUCCGUUUUGUUCAUUGACUGUCUCACACGUGUUCUCUGCUUCCCAGAGGGCAGGCCCCAUUUCUCACGCUGCUCCUGCUGCCAUCCUGCCACUCACUCAACUCGUGCGAGAAGCACGUGGGAGGGGCUCGGCCAGAACAGGUAGAUACACCAAAGCAAAGACGCUUAUGAAGGACAGCGCUUCCUACAGAUGAUUCAGUUACAUUUUGCCUCUAGAGAUAAAGGCUUAUAGGUGAUGAAAGGGGACUCUUCUCCUUUCAGCAACACGCAAGGAUGGAAACACAAGCUCCCAGGCCCAAGUGCUCCUCCUUCCUCCUCCCUGAGGAAUGAAGGGCUGGCCAGAGAACUCUUUCCCUCCCCCAGGCAGCCUCUGGUUUUUCUCUUUCGGCCAGGAAAGGGGACUCUGGGAGCGCUCCCCCAUGCUACAGCCUUAAUGUCUGGCUGCUUCCUGGACCCCAUGAGGUUUUAUACCUUCUUUGUUUUUCCCAACCAAACCCUGUGGAUUCAGCGAGAGGGUUAAAAGCCGAAACCAGGUUGGGGAAAGCAGACUCUUUGAGAGGGAACCUCGGUCUCCUAAGAUUCCAAGAGCCGUGGGCUCCAAGAAGGGGAGGCUGCCCCCUGGCCUCAUGGCUUAGAUUUUAUUGGCAGCGGCAGCUUUUUCUAGCUGGAAGAUGACCCAGCCACGUGGCAUGCAGGCCUCACCCGUUCCCUCAUUCCUAUAUUCAGGGGAUGAGCUGCUGUGUGCUGCAUCUGCCUGGAAUCUUCAGAGAAACCCAAGACAGAAGGACGUGUGAGGACCUGUCCUGUCAACAGUGCAAACACUGAGGAGGAACAGGGAAAGAAAACAAUUUCAAGAGGGAAGCCGGAAAGGACCUAUUUCAAGGAAAACAUUGGGAGAAGCAAACAGCUGCCUUUGGUGGCUUUUUAAAGCAUCACUGCAAAUGAAGUCUCUGUUACCUCCUCCCUGCCCUCUUUUUGUGUCCCACUUACACAUACUUUUUUAUUUUUAGUACGAGUCUAUUUUGGUGUGUAUGUUCUAUUAGAGAUUAGUAUUUCUUUGACUAUAGACCGCAUGUAAGGGGUCAGGCAUAGUUUGAGUACUUAGCUAAUGGAAAAUAAGGAUGUUCUCUAGCACAAAUAACCAACUAGCCACAAACCACUAAUAUUGGCUACAGAAAUUCACAACACACCUGCGUAACUUUAGCACCAAAGCGAAUUCUAACCAACUCUUGUUCCUCUCUCCAUACACAGAGAGGUCUGAAAGGUGGUUAAGAGAUACUUGGUAUGGGUACUGAGCUGGGCCACACAGUCGGCCUGCUGGCUCAUUCUCCCAGGAGCAAAGUGACUACCUGGAUACAAAGGGAUCUUCUGUCCUCGCUUAAUUACAGAUAAGGCUUCUUUCAACAGCAAGAAGCAGACCUUCCAGAGAACAACAGGACGUAUAAGCAAAACCUCUGAAGUCAUCCAAGCAACGCUGUUGAUUCUCAGCUUAUUUUUAUUUACAUCUUAUUUACCAAGAAGCUAAGACCCCCUCCCCCACCCCCACCCCCAGACACCAAAGGACAAUACCUUUUACAAUUCACAUGCUGAGGCAAAAGGAGACAGGUCACCUCCCUCCAAGUGUCCCACCUUUCCCACUGCUGUACAAGUGUGUGCUAUUUCUAUUAAAAAAAGCACCCCGGUGAGCCUCCGUUUUUAAUUCUUAAGGCAAAAGUCACAGCUGGAUCGCAGCGGAAGCUUACCUCCCACGUUAGUGCCAAGCGGCUCACAGCAACAUUACUUAGUCCCAUGACGAUGGCAAAAAAGGAAUUCAGAUUUUUGUACUCCUUACAGCUGAAACACAAGAGGCACAUGUUGGGAGAAAAUGUCACUUUUGAGUGAGAUAAAAAAAAAUUAGGGUUCUAUUUUCUGAUGGUCAUUAAUAUUCGUCAGGACUCCUUUACGAGAACAGGCAAUGAUAGAUUUAAUGCAUUAUAAAAGUUUCCACUUGGGUGACCGUGUUCUGCUGUUUGAUUUCUCAUUGCAGUUUUAGAAAGGUGAUGGUAUUGGCCAUCGGUGCAGGUUUUGAGAAGGAAAUUUAAAGACACCGACCCUGGGGAUUGUUACUGUAACCCCAAAGCGAUAAAACCUUGCUGGACUUGGAAGGAAACAUCUCAGGGGAUCUGAAGAGAGGAAGCAAAAUGUCCUUGGAGGCUUUCAGACUUCCAGCCUGAAACUGGACACCCCAGGCCCAAGGAGAUCACACUGAACUUCCACCUGCCAUGCAAAUGCUUCUGAUUUGUUGAACAAAUAUCACUGUACAAAUCAUGACCCGUAUACAGCUAGUAACCUCAACAGCUGACCCCAAAUAACGUUACUCGCUCUGUGUUUUAGCAGUGUUGAUGAAGCUGAUCAUUUUGAACCUGUAUUUUGGCCACUCUUUGCUUUUAUGGAUAUAUAUUUGGGAAUAAGAAUAUUGUGGGACAAGACCAAAAGUUCUUAAUUAGAAUGAAAUGUUUAGCCCAGGUAAAU